RNAcentral lists this unclassified non-coding RNA (383 nucleotides) under uncultured bacterium. Its description in RNAcentral is "contains 16S-23S intergenic spacer region". The record is from RNAcentral.
UCCGAGUUGACCCCGGCAGUCUCCUAUGAGUCCCCGGCAUUACCCGCUGGCAACAUAGAACGAGGGUUGCGCUCGUUGCGGGACUUAACCCAACAUCUCACGACACGAGCUGACGACAGCCAUGCAGCACCUGUGUUCAGGUUCUCUUUCGAGCACAUCGCCAUCUCUGGCGACUUCCUGACAUGUCAAGGGUAGGUAAGGUUUUUCGCGUUGCAUCGAAUUAAUCCACAUCAUCCACCGCUUGUGCGGGUCCCCGUCAAUUCCUUUGAGUUUUAAUCUUGCGGCCGUACUCCCCAGGCGGGGUGCUUAAUGCGUUAGCUGCGGCACGGAGCGGGUUGAAGACCGCCCCACACCUAGCACCCAACGUUUACGGCUGGGACUAC